Long non-coding RNA from Nothoprocta perdicaria, 179 nucleotides. RefSeq lists it as uncharacterized. The transcript has 2 exons. The record is from RefSeq and is a predicted model, not a curated record. NCBI's taxonomy places the organism in Eukaryota, Metazoa, Chordata, Aves, Tinamiformes, Tinamidae.
GGAGCCUCCGCGCCGCCCGCCUGCGCCCACAACGGCUCGCUCGGGCAAUGGCUGCAGCGGCUUUCCAUCGGAUGGAAGUACCACGACGGGAAGAUCUACUACUUCUCCAGUGACCGCAAGCCCUGGAAGGACGCCGAGGACUUCUGCGUGUCGAAGAAAUCCCACCUGGUCUCUGUGAC